ACUGAAUAGAUACCCGGGUAGUCCAUGCCGUAAACUAUGGAUACUAGCUGUUGGGGGUAUCGACCCCUCCAGUAGCGAAAGCUAAACGCGUUAAGUAUCCCGCCUGUGGAGUACGAUCGCAAGAUUAAACAAUAAAGGAAUUGACGGGGACCCGGCACAAGCGGUGGAGCGUGUUCUUUAAAUUCGAUGCUAAACGAAGAACCUUACCAGGGCUUGACAUCCCUUGAAUUACUCCGAAAGGAGUGAGUGCUUUAUUGAGCAAGGUGACAGGUGAUGCAUGGCCGUCGUCAGCUCGUGUCGUGAGAUGUUUGGUUAAGUCCAUCAACGAGCGCAACCCUUAUACUUAGUUGUAUUUUUCUAGGUAGACUGCCCCGGUAACGGGGA
This 384-nucleotide ribosomal RNA is filed under the name uncultured bacterium. RNAcentral describes it as "bacterial SSU rRNA". It matches the Rfam family "Bacterial small subunit ribosomal RNA", at positions 772 to 1167 of the family's 1533-position model. The record is from RNAcentral.